This 425-nucleotide ribosomal RNA is filed under the name uncultured bacterium. RNAcentral describes it as "partial 16S ribosomal RNA". It matches the Rfam family "Bacterial small subunit ribosomal RNA", at positions 354 to 796 of the family's 1533-position model. The record is from RNAcentral.
GUGGGGAAUAUUGGACAAUGGGCGCAAGCCUGAUCCAGCCAUGCCGCGUGAGUGAUGAAGGCCUUAGGGUUGUAAAGCUCUUUCACCGAUGAAGAUAAUGACGGUAGUCGGAGAAGAAGCCCCGGCUAACUUCGUGCCAGCAGCCGCGGUAAUACGAAGGGGGCUAGCGUUGUUCGGAUUUACUGGGCGUAAAGCGCACGUAGGCGGUUUGUUAAGUCAGAGGUGAAAUCCCGGAGCUCAACUCCGGAACUGCCUUUGAUACUGGCAAGCUAGAGUCCGGAAGAGGUAAGUGGAACUCCUAGUGGAGAGGUGGAAUUCGUAGAUAUUAGGAAGAACACCAGUGGCGAAGGCGGCUUACUGGUCCGGAACUGACGCUGAGGUGCGAAAGCGUGGGGAGCAAACAGGAUUAGAAACCCCGGUAGUCC